Molecule: long non-coding RNA, 614 nt
Organism: Rosa rugosa (rugosa rose)
Lineage: Eukaryota; Viridiplantae; Streptophyta; Magnoliopsida; Rosales; Rosaceae
Exons: 2
Source: RefSeq, a predicted model, not a curated record
ACUCUAUCAGAAAUCCGCUCUCUGGAUAUGAGAUUUUGACGACCUUUGUUUUCUCUCAUUCUGAAGAUGAAAAGAAGACGGCCUCUCACAUCGAAGGUCGAACUGACCUCAAACUUUCCUUUCUUUAUUCUCUACUAACCAAGGUCUUUGCUGCUGUUCUCUUAGGGUUUGGAAUACAAAGAAACAAAAAUAAGCUAAGGAUUGGUGCCACUCGAGGCCAGUCUCGGAGUCCAAUGGCAGAGGUGGUUUCUCAGUUUCAAAUCUCCACGGAGCACAACUCACCAAAGGUUCCAGAUUUGAAUCAGUUGCAAAACUUUGUGGAUCGGAUGAGGCAUGUUGGUGAUCUGCUUAAUAUUUCCAUAAGCAAGUAUAUAUGGGGAUUUACACAUUCAGAUUUCAACUACACUGAUCACACUGGGUGCUGAAUUUCAGAAGCUUUUGGUCAUAGGUCAAGUACACUAAUCACACUUAUCAUUAUCAACUUGAUAAGUCAAUCAGUAUGCAGUGCAAACUUCCUGUAAUUACCAAUCAUGUUGUAGACCAUAUAUAAUGUUCGUAAGCUCUCUUAUGAUGGUACAUUGUGAUUCAUAAAAGUGGAGUUGGCUUUAUCCUUU